UACGGGGGGGGCAAGCGUUGUUCGGAAUUACUGGGCGUAAAGGGCUCGUAGGUGGCCAACUAAGUCAGACGUGAAAUCCCUCAGCUUAACUGGGGAACUGCGUCUGAUACUGGAUGGCUUGAGAUUGGGAGAGGGAUGCGGAAUUCCAGGUGUAGCGGUGAAAUGCGCAGAUAUCAGGAGGAACACCGAUGGCGAAGGCAGAUCUCUGGGCCGUAACUGACGCUGAGGAGCGAAAGCAUGGGGAGCGAACAGG
Molecule: ribosomal RNA, 253 nt
Filed under: uncultured bacterium
Lineage: Bacteria
Description: partial 16S ribosomal RNA
Rfam family: Bacterial small subunit ribosomal RNA
Source: RNAcentral